RNAcentral lists this ribosomal RNA (346 nucleotides) under uncultured bacterium. RNAcentral describes it as "bacterial SSU rRNA". It matches the Rfam family "Bacterial small subunit ribosomal RNA", at positions 29 to 363 of the family's 1533-position model. The record is from RNAcentral.
AGUGAACGCUGGCGGCGUGCUUAACACAUGCAAGUCGAACGAGAACGGAUUAUAGCUUGCUAUAAUUGUCAGCUAAGUGGCGCACGGGUGGGUAAUAUAUAGGUAACGUGCCCCCAAAGAAGAGGAUAACAGAUGGAAACGUCUGCUAAGACUCUAUAUGCCUUUAUGACAAAAGUCAGCAAGGGAAAUAUUUAUAGCUUUGGGAUCGGCCUGUACAGUAUCAGUUAGUUGGUGAGGUAAUGGCUCACCCAAGGACAAUGACGCUUAACUGGUUUGAGAGGAUGAUCAGUCACACUGGAACUGAGACACGGGUCCAGACUCCUACGGGAGGCAGCAGUGGGGAAUA